GACGAACGCUGGCGGCGUGCCUAACACAUGCAAGUCGAGGGGCAGCGUGGAGCAGCAAUGCUCUGACGGCGACCGGCGGAAGGGUGCGUAACACGUGAGGAACCUGCCUCAAAGAGGGGGACAACAGUUGGAAACGACUGCUAAUACCGCAUAAGCCCACGACCCGGCAUCGGGAAGAGGGAAAAGGAGCAAUCCGCUUUGAGAUGGCCUCGCGUCCGAUUAGCUAGUUGGUGAGGUAACGGCCCACCAAGGCGACGAUCGGUAGCCGGACUGAGAGGUUGAACGGCCACAUUGGGACUGAGACACGGCCCAGACUCCUACGGGAGGCAGCAGUGGGGAAUAUUGCACAAUGGGGGAAACCCUGAUGCAGCGACGCCGCGUGGAGGAAGAAGGCUUUCGGGUUGUAAACGUUCUUUUAAGAGGGAAGAGCAGAAGACGGUAACCUCUUGAAUAAGCCACGGCUAACUACGUG
This 472-nucleotide ribosomal RNA is filed under the name uncultured bacterium. RNAcentral's name for it is "bacterial SSU rRNA". It matches the Rfam family "Bacterial small subunit ribosomal RNA", at positions 28 to 507 of the family's 1533-position model. The record is from RNAcentral.